UAGGGAAUAUUGGUAAUCUGGGAAACCGGGAACCAGCAACGCCGCGUGCGCGAUGAAGGCCUUCGGGUCGUAAAGCGCUUUUUGAAGGGAUGAGGAAGGACAGUACCUUCAGAAUAAGCCUCGGCUAACUACGUGCCAGCAGCCGCGGUAAAACGUAGGAGGCGAGCGUUAUCCGGAUUUACUGGGCGUAAAGCGUGUGUAGGCGGUUUGAUAAGUUGGAUGUGAAAGCUCCCGGCUCAACUGGGAGAGGUCGUUCAAAACUAUCAGACUCGAGAGUGGUAGAGGGAGGUGGAAUUCCGCGUGUAGUGGUGAAAUGCGUAGAUAUGCGGAGGAACACCAGUGGCGAAAGCGGCCUCCUGGCCCAUUUCUGACGCUCAGACACGAAAGCUAAGGUAGCAAACGG
RNAcentral lists this ribosomal RNA (403 nucleotides) under uncultured bacterium. RNAcentral's name for it is "bacterial SSU rRNA". It matches the Rfam family "Bacterial small subunit ribosomal RNA", at positions 355 to 775 of the family's 1533-position model. The record is from RNAcentral.